GGUGGGUGUGGUGGUGUACACCUGUAAUCCCAGAAGCUCUGGAGGCUGAGGCAGGAGGAUCACAAAUUCAAAGCCAGCCUCAGCAAUUUAGUGAGGCCCUAAACAACUCUGUGAGACCCAGUCUCUA
RNAcentral lists this small RNA (127 nucleotides) under Marmota monax (woodchuck). Lineage: Eukaryota; Metazoa; Chordata; Mammalia; Rodentia; Sciuridae. The record is from RNAcentral.